RNAcentral lists this ribosomal RNA (253 nucleotides) under uncultured bacterium. RNAcentral describes it as "partial 16S ribosomal RNA". It matches the Rfam family "Bacterial small subunit ribosomal RNA", at positions 524 to 776 of the family's 1533-position model. The record is from RNAcentral.
GACGAACCGAGCGAACGUUAUUCGGAAUCACUGGGCUUAAAGGGCGCGUAGGCGGGCCGUCAAGUCAGGGGUGAAAGCCCCCAGCUCAACUGGGGAAGUGCCUCUGAUACUGACGGCCUCGAGGGAGGUAGGGGCGUGCGGAACUUCCGGUGGAGCGGUGAAAUGCGUAGAUAUCGGAAGGAACACCGGUGGCGAAAGCGGCGCGCUGGACCUCUUCUGACGCUGAGGCGCGAAAGCCAGGGGAGCGAACGGG